UGGGGAAUAUUGGGCAAUGGGCGAAAGCCUUACCCAGCAACGCCGCGUGAGGGAAGAAGGUUUUCGGAUUGUAAACCUCUGUCCUGGGGGACGAAGGAAGUGACGGUACCCCGGGAGGAAGCCCCGGCUAACUACGUGCCAGCAGCCGCGGUAAUACGUAGGGGGCGAGCGUUGUCCGGAAUUAUUGGGCGUAAAGGGCGCGUAGACGGCUGAGUAAGUUACUGGUGAAAGCCCAGCUUUUAAGGCUGGAAUUGCCGGUAAUACUGUUCAGCUUGAGUGCAGGAGAGGGAAGCGGAAUUCCUAGUGUAGCGGUGAAAUGCGUAGAUAUUAGGAGGAACACCAGUGGCGAAGGCGGCUUUCUGGACUGUAACUGACGUUGAGGCGCGAAAGCGUGGGGAGCAAACAGGAUUAGAUACCCUGGUAGU
This 425-nucleotide ribosomal RNA is filed under the name uncultured bacterium. RNAcentral describes it as "bacterial SSU rRNA". It matches the Rfam family "Bacterial small subunit ribosomal RNA", at positions 355 to 794 of the family's 1533-position model. The record is from RNAcentral.